UACGUAGGUGGCAAGCGUUGUCCGGAUUUAUUGGGCGUAAAGCGCGCGCAGGCGGUUUUUUAAGUCUGAUGUGAAAUCUUGCGGCUCAACCGCAAGCGGUCAUUGGAAACUGGGGGACUUGAGUACAGAAGAGGAAAGCGGAAUUCCACGUGUAGCGGUGAAAUGCGUAGAGAUGUGGAGGAACACCAGUGGCGAAGGCGGCUUUCUGGUCUGUAACUGACGCUGAGGCGCGAAAGCGUGGGGAGCAAACAGG
RNAcentral lists this ribosomal RNA (253 nucleotides) under uncultured bacterium. RNAcentral's name for it is "partial 16S ribosomal RNA". It matches the Rfam family "Bacterial small subunit ribosomal RNA", at positions 524 to 776 of the family's 1533-position model. The record is from RNAcentral.